UUGGGGUCUAGUUUGUAUUAAAAGUUCAGAGUGCCAAAUUUACUGCAAAAUUCGCAUAUGUUUUGCUAUUUUUGGUCAAAAUUGCAGGAACACAAGUGAGUUGUGAUUAGAUGGAGCCCGGCACAAAGAUGGUUAAGGAACUUGAUGUUGGAUGACUUCAUGGAAGAACGAGAGAGGACCAGCACUAAUAGACAUGUAACUACCAUGGAGUCACUGGUCGCUGGUAAGGAGGUGGUGUCACCUGGCCAAAGCAGCAACCUAUAAGUGGCUAUAGUGAUGUCAUUAGGUGCAAGAAGGUGCCCCUAGAGAUUCAAGAAAUGAUGAGAGAGAGAACUUGGAGAGUCUAAAGGAGGAGAAGC
This 359-nucleotide long non-coding RNA is filed under the name Elaeis guineensis (African oil palm). RNAcentral's name for it is "long non-coding RNA (EGUI_LNC076059)". Lineage: Eukaryota; Viridiplantae; Streptophyta; Magnoliopsida; Arecales; Arecaceae. The record is from RNAcentral.